Molecule: ribosomal RNA, 125 nt
Filed under: Oxyopes lineatipes
Lineage: Eukaryota; Metazoa; Arthropoda; Arachnida; Araneae; Oxyopidae
Description: partial 5.8S ribosomal RNA
Source: RNAcentral
UUUGGCCAAAAAAAAACGGAACCAACUUGAAAACUUGGGUGAAAUUCCCGGCCCCCUUAAACCCUAAUUUUUUGAACCCCCCUUCGGGCCCCGGGUCCUUCCCGGGGCCACGUCUGUCUGAGGGU